GCCGGUUUAGCUCAGUUGGUAGAGCACCCGCCUUGUAAGCGUAGGUCGUCAUUCGAAUCCGACAACCGGCACCA
This 74-nucleotide transfer RNA is filed under the name Alicycliphilus sp. B1. RNAcentral's name for it is "tRNA-Thr". It matches the Rfam family "tRNA". Rfam says of the family: Transfer RNA (tRNA) molecules are approximately 80 nucleotides in length. The record is from RNAcentral. Lineage: Bacteria; Pseudomonadati; Pseudomonadota; Betaproteobacteria; Burkholderiales; Comamonadaceae.